RNAcentral lists this ribosomal RNA (251 nucleotides) under uncultured bacterium. Its description in RNAcentral is "partial 16S ribosomal RNA". It matches the Rfam family "Bacterial small subunit ribosomal RNA", at positions 30 to 289 of the family's 1533-position model. The record is from RNAcentral.
UUGAACGCUGGCGGCAUGCCUUACACAUGCAAGUCGAACGGUAGAGGGGCAACCCUUGAGAGUGGCGAACGGGUGAGUAAUGCAUCGGAACGUGCCCAGUCGUGGGGGAUAACGCAGCGAAAGCUGUGCUAAUACCGCAUGUGAUCUGUGGAUGAAAGCAGGGGACCGCAAGGCCUUGUGCGAUUGGAGCGGCCGAUGUCAGGUUAGCUAGUUGGUAGGGUAAAGCCUACCAAGGCGACGAUCUGUAGCUG